This 291-nucleotide ribosomal RNA is filed under the name Labyrinthula sp. RNAcentral's name for it is "partial small subunit ribosomal RNA". It matches the Rfam family "Eukaryotic small subunit ribosomal RNA", at positions 1117 to 1431 of the family's 1831-position model. Lineage: Eukaryota; Bigyra; Labyrinthulida; Labyrinthulaceae. The record is from RNAcentral.
GGGGGAGUAUGGUCGCAAGGCUGAAACUUAAAGGAAUUGACGGAAGGGCACCACCAGGAGUGGAGCCUGCGGCUUAAUUUGACUCAACACGGGAAAACUUACCAGGUCCGGACAUAAGAAGGAUUGACAGAUUGAGAGCUCUUUCAUGAUUUUAUGGGUGGUGGUGCAUGGCCGUUCUUAGUUGGUGGAGUGAUUUGUCUGGUUGAUUCCGUUAACGAACGAGACCUCAGCCUGCUAAAUAGUUAUGCUAUUCUUGAAUAGCUUAGCUUCUUAGAGGGACUUUCCGGGUCU